GCGGGAAAAGCUCAAAUUUAAAAUCUGGCAGCCUCUGGUUGUCCGAGUUGUAGUCUGGAGAAGUGCUUUCCGCGCUGGACCGUGUAUAAGUCUCUUGGAAUAGAGCGUCAUAGAGGGUGAGAAUCCCGUCUUUGACACGGACUACCAGUGCUUUGUGAUGCGCUUUCAAAGAGUCGAGUUGUUUGGGAAUGCAGCUCAAAAUGGGUGGUAAAUUCCAUCUAAAGCUAAAUAUUGGCGAGAGACCGAUAGCGAACAAGUACCGUGAGGGAAAGAUGAAAAGCACUUUGGAAAGAGAGUUAAACAGUACGUGAAAUUGCUGAAAGGGAAACGCUUGAAGUCAGUCGCGUCGUUUGGAACUCAGCCUUGCUUUUGCUUGGUGCACUUUCUGAAUGACGGGCCAGCAUCAAUUUUGACCGUUGGAGAAGGGUGGGAGGAAUGUGGCACUCUUCGGGGUGUGUUAUAGCCUCUUACCGCAUGCAACGGUUGGGAUUGAGGACCGCAGCGCGCCGCAAGGCAGGGGAAUGUUUCCCACUUUCGCGCUUAGGAUGCUGGCAUAAUGGCUUUAAGCGACCCG
Molecule: ribosomal RNA, 574 nt
Filed under: Cerioporus varius
Lineage: Eukaryota; Fungi; Basidiomycota; Agaricomycetes; Polyporales; Polyporaceae
Description: partial 28S ribosomal RNA
Rfam family: Eukaryotic large subunit ribosomal RNA
Source: RNAcentral